GUGCACAGUUUAAUGGAACACGAAGUACGGACAUCCUAAAUCUAAUCGAUAUGCGCAUGCCGAGCAGUUACACACUGGGGCAUAGCCAACGCAAACAAAUAAAACUAUUAAUGUUGCUCAAAAUUUUAGAAAGCAAUAUAUUUUUACAAAGCUUUCGAAAGUGUUAAAAUGGCCGAGGAGUGGGAUCCUACAGAGAUUGCUAAAUUAAGGGGAUGGAGAAAAACUUUCAAUACUAUCACGGUUGACGGACGCUUUAAUAUUGCCAUGUUAACUUUUGGAACAAUAUUUGGAGGAAUGGCUUUGUAUAAAUUGAAAAACAGAUCUAAAGAUAAAUUAAAUCCGACCAAUUCUUAAAAAAGAAAAUGAAUUAGUUCUUUGUUAUUUAUUUAGACAAUUUUUAAUUAAAUUUA
Daktulosphaira vitifoliae (grape phylloxera) is the source of this 410-nucleotide long non-coding RNA. RefSeq lists it as uncharacterized. The transcript has 3 exons. The record is from RefSeq and is a predicted model, not a curated record. NCBI's taxonomy places the organism in Eukaryota, Metazoa, Arthropoda, Insecta, Hemiptera, Phylloxeridae.